AAAUGAUGCGAUUUUUGGAUU
This 21-nucleotide small nuclear RNA is filed under the name Arabidopsis thaliana (thale cress). RNAcentral's name for it is "snRNA_11739". The record is from RNAcentral. Lineage: Eukaryota; Viridiplantae; Streptophyta; Magnoliopsida; Brassicales; Brassicaceae.